RNAcentral lists this ribosomal RNA (253 nucleotides) under uncultured bacterium. RNAcentral's name for it is "partial 16S ribosomal RNA". It matches the Rfam family "Bacterial small subunit ribosomal RNA", at positions 524 to 776 of the family's 1533-position model. The record is from RNAcentral.
UACGGAGGAUCCGAGCGUUAUCCGGAUUUAUUGGGUUUAAAGGGUGCGUAGGCGGACUGGUAAGUCAGCUGUGAAAGUUUACGGCUCAACCGUGAAAUUGCAGUUGAUACUGUUGGUCUUGAGUAUACAUGAGGUGGGCGGAAUUUGUGGUGUAGCGGUGAAAUGCUUAGAUAUCACAAAGAACUCCAAUUGCGAAGGCGGCUCUCUGGUCUGUAACUGACGCUGAGGCUCGAAAGCGUGGGGAGCAAACAGG